GGCACUGUAGCUCAGUUGGUAGAGCACAUGCUUAACACGCAUGAUUGUCGUCGGUUCGAGCCCGGCCAGAGUCA
Molecule: transfer RNA, 74 nt
Filed under: Puccinia graminis f. sp. tritici CRL 75-36-700-3
Lineage: Eukaryota; Fungi; Basidiomycota; Pucciniomycetes; Pucciniales; Pucciniaceae
Description: tRNA-Val (AAC) (tRNA-Val-AAC-4-1)
Rfam family: tRNA
About the family: Transfer RNA (tRNA) molecules are approximately 80 nucleotides in length. Their secondary structure includes four short double-helical elements and three loops (D, anti-codon, and T loops).
Source: RNAcentral